Molecule: long non-coding RNA, 223 nt
Organism: Mauremys reevesii (Reeves's turtle)
Lineage: Eukaryota; Metazoa; Chordata; Testudines; Geoemydidae
Exons: 3
Source: RefSeq, a predicted model, not a curated record
UCCCAGGCCUAUUUAACUGUAAGCUGUUUGUGGGAUCGAAUGGACAAGGACUCCUGAUAUCCUUAGACUCUGGUGCAUGUGCCCAUCUAGCAUCAGUCAGCCCGGUCUCCUGGUCCACUCAGAUUUGCUGAGAAGAUUAUUUUGAGAUGCUUACGAGUCACAAGCUAGGAUGUCAUUUAUUAUUUUAGAUAUAACCUGGAACUCUGAAUGCAGGUCUUGACAG